UACGUAGGGUGCAAGCGUUAAUCGGAAUUACUGGGCGUAAAGCGUGCGCAGGCGGUUUUGUAAGUCUGAUAUGAAAUCCCCGGGCUCAACCUGGGAAUUGCAUUGGAGACUGCAAGGCUAGAAUCUGGCAGAGGGGGGUAGAAUUCCACGUGUAGCAGUGAAAUGCGUAGAGAUGUGGAGGAACACCGAUGGCGAAGGCAGCCCCCUGGGUCAAGAUUGACGCUCAUGCACGAAAGCGUGGGGAGCAAACAGG
Molecule: ribosomal RNA, 253 nt
Filed under: uncultured bacterium
Lineage: Bacteria
Description: partial 16S ribosomal RNA
Rfam family: Bacterial small subunit ribosomal RNA
Source: RNAcentral